Molecule: unclassified non-coding RNA, 298 nt
Filed under: uncultured Coltriciella
Lineage: Eukaryota; Fungi; Basidiomycota; Agaricomycetes; Hymenochaetales; Hymenochaetaceae
Description: sequence contains ITS2
Source: RNAcentral
UGAUCUCAAUUCCCCUCAGGCUUUAUUUUGAAAUAUAAAUGAAGGCCUGUUCAGGGUUAUUGGAUUUGGAGGUUUCAUGCAGGUUCCUUUUGUAAGGGAAUCGGCUCCUCUUAAAAAUAUUAGCUGGAGGAUGAAGCAAAAAUAUAGGCUCAGCAUUGUUCAAUUGGCUUUUAUUGUGUAGUAAUUAUUUCAUCAUAUGCUAUACAGUGCACGGGAAAAUAUAGUCCCAAAGGAGGCUUUUUGUAGCAUUCUCUGCUUCUAGUUUUGUCAGGUCUUAUCUGGCAAUUCAUGUAUUCUU